CCUACGGGUGGCAGCAGUAGGGAAUCUUCCACAAUGGACGAAAGUCUGAUGGAGCAACGCCGCGUGAGUGAAGAAGGGUUUCGGCUCGUAAAGCUCUGUUGGUAGUGAAGAAAGAUAGAGGUAGUAACUGGCCUUUAUUUGACGGUAAUUACUUAGAAAGUCACGGCUAACUACGUGACAGCAGCCGCGGUAAUACGUAGGUGGCAAGCGUUGUCCGGAUUUAUUUGGCGUAAAGCGAGUGCAGGCGGUUCAAUAAGUCUGAUGUGAAAGCCUUCGGCUCAACCGGAUAAUUGCAUCAGAAACUGUUGAACUUGAGUGCAGAAGAGGAGAGUGGAACUCCAUGUGUAGCGGUGGAAGGCGUAGAUAUAUGGAAGAACACCAGUGGCGAAGGCGGCUCUCUGGUCUGCAACUGACGCUGAGGCUCGAAAGCAUGGGUAGCGAACAGGAUUAGAUACCCGUGUAGUC
Molecule: ribosomal RNA, 465 nt
Filed under: uncultured bacterium
Lineage: Bacteria
Description: partial 16S ribosomal RNA
Rfam family: Bacterial small subunit ribosomal RNA
Source: RNAcentral